RNAcentral lists this ribosomal RNA (169 nucleotides) under uncultured Alphaproteobacteria bacterium. RNAcentral describes it as "partial 16S ribosomal RNA". It matches the Rfam family "Bacterial small subunit ribosomal RNA", at positions 339 to 525 of the family's 1533-position model. The record is from RNAcentral. Lineage: Bacteria; Pseudomonadati; Pseudomonadota; Alphaproteobacteria.
CUACGGGAGGCAGCAGUGGGGAAUAUUGGACAAUGGGCGAAAGCCUGAUCCAGCAAUGCCGCGUGAGUGAUGAAGGCCUUAGGGUUGUAAAGCUCUUUUACCAGGGAUGAUAAUGACAGUACCUGGAGAAUAAGCUCCGGCUAACUCCGUGCCAGCAGCCGCGGUAAUA